This is a long non-coding RNA of Leopardus geoffroyi (Geoffroy's cat), 373 nucleotides long. RefSeq lists it as uncharacterized. The transcript has 3 exons. Lineage: Eukaryota; Metazoa; Chordata; Mammalia; Carnivora; Felidae. The record is from RefSeq and is a predicted model, not a curated record.
GGAAGGUUAGUGCUCGUAAUCUCUGGCCAUGAAGCUGGCUGCCUGGGAGGACUUGGACUGGCGCCUGAUAACCCAGAAAGAGCCGAGAGAGAACAGAUGGGGACAGGCGGCAGCUGUUGAUCCAGUUCCCGUUCGGGACCCUCCCCUGUUGAGGAGCAUUCCAGGCGGGGACAAAUAUAAAAGUAUUUCGUGGCUUUGAAAAUUGUUCAAAAACCCUUACUCCAACUGAAGAGAAACUGCCCAGAAAUCUGUUUAGUUCUAUCCCCAGACUCUGCCUCCUAAAAUAGAGAGACUUCCUUCAUUUGGGUUUGCGUUUAAACAGGUUUCCUUACUGUUUAUGUGACCUAGGACAAUAAAACAUUCCUUAACUUCC